GGGGAAUAUUGCACAAUGGGCGCAAGCCUGAUGCAGCGACGCCGCGUGAGGGAUGACGGCCUUCGGGUUGUAAACCUCUUUCAAUAGGGACGAAGCGUGAGUGACGGUACCUAUAGAAGAAGCACCGGCCAACUACGUGCCAGCAGCCGCGGUAAUACGUAGGGUGCGAGCGUUGUCCGGAAUUACUGGGCGUAAAGAGCUCGUAGGUGGUUUGUCGCGUUGUUCGUGAAAACUCACAGCUUAACUGUGGGCGUGCGGGCGAUACGGGCAGACUAGAGUACUGCAGGGGAGACUGGAAUUCCUGGUGUAGCGGUGGAAUGCGCAGAUAUCAGGAGGAACACCGGUGGCGAAGGCGGGUCUCUGGGCAGUAACUGACGCUGAGGAGCGAAAGCGUGGGGAGCGAAC
Molecule: ribosomal RNA, 405 nt
Filed under: uncultured bacterium
Lineage: Bacteria
Description: bacterial SSU rRNA
Rfam family: Bacterial small subunit ribosomal RNA
Source: RNAcentral